GUAGGUGAACCUGCGGAGGGAUCAUUAACACGUGCCCAAAACACGUUUUAAACCAAUCGCUCUGUGAACACAAACCCAACUCCCUUCACAUGUGGACGACCGAACAACCAUCAGGGUGGAGAGCAUGUGCAUAUGGAAUAAUCGAAUCGGAAACGAGGAGACUCCGUAUGUCGUGUGACUAUGGCUCGGUCUAGGGCUCCUUCGAGAGUCCAAUCCUGUGUGAAGCGAUGCGCGACCACCUGGCAGUGUG
This 250-nucleotide unclassified non-coding RNA is filed under the name plant metagenome. RNAcentral describes it as "partial contains small subunit ribosomal RNA, internal transcribed spacer 1, and 5.8S ribosomal RNA". The record is from RNAcentral.